RNAcentral lists this ribosomal RNA (500 nucleotides) under uncultured bacterium. RNAcentral describes it as "partial 16S ribosomal RNA". It matches the Rfam family "Bacterial small subunit ribosomal RNA", at positions 30 to 523 of the family's 1533-position model. The record is from RNAcentral.
AUUGAACGCUGGCGGCAUGCCUUACACAUGCAAGUCGAACGGCAGCGGGGACUUCGGUCCGCCGGCGAGUGGCGAACGGGUGAGUAAAGCAUCGGAACGUACCCGGAAGUGGGGGAUAACGUAGCGAAAGUUACGCUAAUACCGCAUAUUCUGUGAGCAGGAAAGAGGGGGAUCUUCGGACCUCUUGCUUUCGGAGCGGCCGAUGUCAGAUUAGCUAGUUGGUGAGGUAAGGGCUCACCAAGGCGACGAUCUGUAGCCGGUCUGAGAGGAUGAUCCGCCACACUGGAACUGAGACACGGUCCAGACUCCUACGGGAGGCAGCAGUGGGGAAUUUUGGACAAUGGGCGCAAGCCUGAUCCAGCCAUGCCGCGUGAGUGAAGAAGGCCUUCGGGUUGUAAAGCUCUUUCGGCCGGGAAGAAAUCGCAUGGGUUAAUACCCUGUGCGGAUGACGGUACCGGCAUAAGAAGCACCGGCUAACUACGUGCCAGCAGCAGCCGCGG